CACGUAGGGCGCAAGCGUUGUCCGGAAUUAUUGGGCGUAAAGAGCUCGUAGGCGGUUUGUCGCGUCUGCUGUGAAAACUGGGGGCUCAACCCCCAGCCUGCAGUGGGUACGGGCAGACUAGAGUGCGGUAGGGGAGAUUGGAAUUCCUGGUGUAGCGGUGGAAUGCGCAGAUAUCAGGAGGAACACCGAUGGCGAAGGCAGAUCUCUGGGCCGUAACUGACGCUGAGGAGCGAAAAGCAUGGGGAGCGAACAGG
RNAcentral lists this ribosomal RNA (254 nucleotides) under uncultured bacterium. RNAcentral describes it as "partial 16S ribosomal RNA". It matches the Rfam family "Bacterial small subunit ribosomal RNA", at positions 524 to 776 of the family's 1533-position model. The record is from RNAcentral.